RNAcentral lists this ribosomal RNA (167 nucleotides) under uncultured bacterium. RNAcentral's name for it is "partial 16S ribosomal RNA". It matches the Rfam family "Bacterial small subunit ribosomal RNA", at positions 353 to 511 of the family's 1533-position model. The record is from RNAcentral.
UAGGGGAAAUCUUCCACAAAUGGGCGAAAGCCUGAUGGAGCAACGCCGCGUGUGUGAUGAAGGGUUUCGGCUCGUAAAACACUGUUGUAAGAGAAGAAUGACAUUGAGAGUAACUGUUCAAUGUGUGACGGUAUCUUACCAGAAAGGAACGGCUAAAUACGUGCCAA